GAUGAAGCUAAACAUGUAUAAACUUCUUAAGUAAGAUUUAUGGACGCGGGUUCAAAUCCCGCCGCCUCCA
RNAcentral lists this transfer RNA (70 nucleotides) under Candidatus Portiera aleyrodidarum (primary endosymbiont of Bemisia tabaci). RNAcentral describes it as "tRNA-Und (NNN) (tRNA-Und-NNN-1-1)". It matches the Rfam family "transfer-messenger RNA", at positions 300 to 371 of the family's 374-position model. Rfam says of the family: Bacterial tmRNA, also known as 10Sa RNA or SsrA, is named for its dual tRNA and mRNA-like properties. Its role is to liberate the mRNA from a stalled ribosome. The record is from RNAcentral. Lineage: Bacteria; Pseudomonadati; Pseudomonadota; Gammaproteobacteria; Johnevansiales (SeqCode); Johnevansiaceae (SeqCode).